Nerophis ophidion (straightnose pipefish) is the source of this 9872-nucleotide RNA transcript. It is a transcript of the gene named scavenger receptor class A, member 3, with no coding region annotated. The record is from RefSeq and is a predicted model, not a curated record. NCBI's taxonomy places the organism in Eukaryota, Metazoa, Chordata, Actinopteri, Syngnathiformes, Syngnathidae. The transcript is spliced from 14 exons.
GAUUUAUUUGGACUCAUGCACCUGUUGUCAAUCACCACAUUACAAUUCAAGCCAGUAGUUGGCAGGCAGUCAGGCUGGCGACGUCACCCCCCACAUACCCUUGUUAUUCAUGCUGAUGAUCCAUGCUGCUCUUUUCUCAUUCCAAACAACUACGGAGGAUACGAGAACCAGCUUUUUAAAGAGGAGGAGCUCAAUGGCGAGGAGGAGGAAAUACCGCCGUUCAGAGGUCGCACGAGAGGUGGCUGCGUGAGGUGCCAGCAGAGCAAUUCCCUCCAACUGGCCGUCAAAGUCCUCGCGGCAUUUGUUGCAUUCCUCGUCAUCACUGUCACGGUGCUGGCCUCACUCGUGUUCAGAAAGGUUGACCAUCUUUCCGAGGAGGAGUCAGUCUAUGAUAAGAAGAUCACCAGGGCUCAGCAAGUAUUAGAAGAUCUGAGUAACUGCUCGGGCUGUCUGGAUGUGACUCUGUACAGUAAGGAGAUCAGCAGACUCGAGCAGGAGCUUGAGGACGUUCAAAAACUGUUACUCGGACAAGAGCAGGUCCUGGACCAAUCCUCUCGGACCCAGACCAAGCUGACAGCCACCAGCAACCAGCUGAGUCGCGACAUGCAGAACCACGUCAUGUCCAUCAAACUUCUCAACCAGCUGUUGAAGAGACACCAAGAUCAGGUGGAGGGCUGGAAAGGUGUGCUGGAGGAAACUGAAGAGAAGAUGAAAACUCUGACGGAGGAUCAAUAUGAUGUCAGAGCUACCGCGCAGCAGGUCAACACAACGGUGGCGCUAAGUACUAUGUGGAUUGACGCCCUGCAGAGAAAAUCCGAUGAGGAGACUCUGGUGCUCCAGAACCUGACCAGUGACUGGCAGAACUACAGUCAAGUCCUAGGCAUGAUCAAAUCCAACAGCAGCAGCAAUACGCAAACCAUGCGCUCCCUCCAACGCGGCAUCAUAGCAGACCACCAGAGAAUGGCCAUGUCCUCGGAGAUGUACUACGAUCUUAGUCAGCAGGUGAUGAACCUGCAAAUCCAACUUGACAAUGUCUCAUCUUUCAUGGAUGAACACGAGGAGAACAUGCAUGACCUGCACUACCAUUCCAGGUAUUAUGAGAACCGGACUGGAGAGCGUUUCUCGGCCUUGGAUGGUCGUCUGAACUCCAUUGAGAUGGAAAUCGACACCAUAUCCUCCAGCAUCAAUGCCACAGUCAUCCACGUCCAGAGCAUGUACAAGUACAUCAACAUCGAGAGCGCCACCUGCCAGAGUCGCCUGGGCAGACAAACCGAAGAUCUCCAGAACGUAAACAGCAGCGUGCUGUUGCUUUUCAAUGUGGCCGACACCAUGAGGCAGCAGAACCUGUUGCUUAAUUCCCGCCUGGAUGUAGAUGUCAGGAACUUGUCAUUGGUGAUGGAGGAGAUGAAGUUGGUGGACACUCACCAUACACAACUGAUCAACAACUUCACUAUAUUAAGAGGCGCUCCAGGACCACCGGGGCCCAAAGGAACCCGUGGUGAGACCGGCUCAAAAGGACCUGUUGGACUGAGUGGGAGUAAAGGUGAUCGCGGCCCAAUAGGAAGCCGUGGAUCCCAAGGAGAAAAGGGGUCUUCUGGGCCCAAAGGUGCAAUGGGUCAAUUCGGUCCAAGUGGCAACAGAGGACUGGUAGGCAACGCAGGACCUAAGGGAUAUCCCGGUCAAGUAGGACCACGGGGUGAGAUAGGCCAAAAAGGCGAUAUGGGCCCGCCCGGUGAAACGGGAGUCCCUGGACCAAGAGGACCACCAGGGUUCCCGGGCAUGUCAGGACGACCUGGUAUAAUUGGACUAGAAGGGCCUCAAGGAAAACCAGGGCCACCCGGGCCACCUGGACCACCAGGGACUCCUGGUCCUCCGGGAGUCACACAAGAGUCCCAUGCUCAAUCUAAUACACAGCAGCAAAGUGAACCUGCUGUCGGACCCAAAAGACAGUAAGAUGGAUCAGGACUGACAGGACAAUAAAGAGCAUUCACAAAAAGGUAGAGAGAACUACCUAUGGACUGAACUUUGACACGUAGAUCAGCCACCGAAUGAAUAUUUUAGAGUAGUAAUACUGACCUAAAGGUUUUGUACUUGAAUCUAUUGAGGAUGCAACCCAGCAGUCUCUUAUAUUCUACAUGCUGACACAGCAUUCUCUAAUGCUUCUUUCAUUGUAGAUAUCUAAGAUGGUUUGUCAUUUGGCAACAUUUCAGAGCCGGUACUCUGAAGACAACAUGCAUCUUCUGUGUGGAAUCAAAUUGGAAUCACACCUGCUGCAGCACAACAACAAACUGAACAAUGGACGCCGUGAAAGGCGAGCCAACUAUUCCAGACUGGUCCAGCUGUGUUCCAUUCCGACUGCACCAAUAAGAGAACGCAAUCCACACCACGAUGCCCACCAAACGUCACACACUUGUUCAUUCAUAGUUUUGAUGCCUUCAGUGACAAUCUACAAUGAUAGUCAUGAAAAUAAAGAAAACGCAUUGAAUGAGAAGGUGUGUCUAAACUGUUGGCCUGUACUGUAUAUUGUACCCACAAAAUAUGACUCACCAUAUAAGUAAACAAAAAAGUCUACCCCUAGAAAUGAAGCCACUUUUGCAAAUUACAAAAUGUACAGUAUGUGUAUUAUAUAUAAAGAUUGGUAUCGUUCACAUUUGAACUGAUACGGUACCUGGGAAUCGAUAUCGGCACUCAACAGUACCUAUUUUUGGUACUUUACUGUGUUAUAGAUAAUUAGUAAUAAGGUGUGUCCAAACUUUUGGCCUGUACUGUAUCUAACUGUCAAACAGACCGAAAAGGUCCAGUGCAGACUAGGAGUAUAAGACAAGUCCUCCUUUUCAAGAUGUGACAAGAUAUACAUCUUUCUUAGCAGCUGGACAGUUGUUUGAUAACUUUGCUUCAUUGAUCACCACCAUUUUAAGAUUAGUAUCAAAACCUCCAGUUGUUUGCUAACUUCCACCAUUGAGACAUUUUUUUUUAAAUCCCUGUGAGUUUCAUCUCGUGUGUGUUUGAUUGAUGGAUUGAAACUUUUAUUAGUAGAUUGCACAGAACAGUACAUAUUCCGUACAAUUGACCACUAAAUGGUAACACCCCAAUAAGUUUUUCAACUUGUUUAAGUCGGGGUCCACGUUAAUUAAUUCAUAGUGUGUGUGUGUGUGUGUGUGUGUGUGUGUGUGUGUGUGUGUGUGUGUGUGUGUGUGUGUGUGUGUGUGUGAGUGACAGGAAGAAAUGCUUUGACCUUCUUGGAAAAGUUGUUUUGCCGCCAUUUGUUUUUGCAUGGGUCAGCAACCCGUGGCUCUUUAGCGCCACCCUAGUGGCUCCCUUGAGCUUUUGUAUGCAAAUGGAAAAAGAUGGAAAAUAUUUUUUCUGUUGUACUAUGGUUUCUGUAGGAGAACAAACAUGACACAAACCUUCCUAAUUGUUAGAAAUGCCACUGUUUAUAUUAUUUUUACAUGUACUACUUUCUCCGAUGCUGCCACAGAAAGACUUUUUUUAUGCCUCUUCUUAUUUGUCGCAUUUUGUCCACCAAAUAUUUUAUGCUUUGCGUGAAUGCACAAAGAUGAGCUUUGUUGAUGUUAUUGACUUGUUUGAGAGCUAAUCAGACAUAUUUGGUCAAUGCAUGACAGCAAGCUAAUCGGUGCUAACAUGCUAAAUAGGCUAGCUGUAUGUACAUAUUGCAUCAUUAUUCCUUGUUUGUAGGUAUAUUUGAGCUUAGUUAAUUUACAUUACUUAUGUCCUCUGUGUAUUUAGUUUAUAUGUUCCAGACCACAGCAAACGUUAACCUACUUGCAAAGAUUGUAAUAACCUAUUAGAAGAACACAGCCUGCUGUUUCCUUUAAGUUGGACACACACAUUUAUACCUUUGGCCAUUCUAAGCCAGAAAUUUCCAGAAGUUAUCUCAUCCUCUGACUAGCCUCCAUUUUACUAAUGAUUUCCAAUGUUGCAAAAAUGCGUAGAAUAGAAAUUUAAAUACAACAUUUCUGUCUACAAAGAGUUGUGUCGGCCUUCGAUAGUAGGCUAAUAUAGCUAAUAUAGACACAUCAUGUGUUGCCUUCAUUACAACACUUAUAUAAGACUUUUAAAGUCAUUUUGAUAGUAGGCUAAUAUAGACACUUACAUCAUGUGUUGCCUUCAUUACAACACUUAUAUGAGGCUUUUAAAGUCAUUUUGAUAGUGGGCUAAUGUAGACACUUACAUCAUAUGUUGCCUUCAUUACAACACUUAUAUAAGACUUUUAAAGUCAUUUUGGUAGGCUAAUAUAGACACUUACAUCAUGUGUUGCCUUCAUUACAACACUUAUAUAAGACUUUUAAAGUCAUUUUGGUAGGCUAAUAUAGACACUUACAUCAUAUGUUGCCUUCAUUACAACACUUAUAUAAGACUUUUAAAGUCAUUUUGGUAGGCUAAUAUAGACACUUACAUCAUGUGUUGCCUUCAUUACAACACUUAUAUGAGGCUUUUAAAGUCAUUUUGAUAGUGGGCUAAUAUAGACACUUACAUCAUAUGUUGCCUUCAUUACAACACUUAUAUGAGGCUUUUAAAGUCAUUUUGAUAGUGGGCUAAUAUAGACACAUCAUAUGUUGCCUUCAUUACGACACUUAUAUAAGACUUUUAAAGUCAUUUUGAUAGUAGGCUAAUAUAGACACUUACAUCUUAUGUUGCCUUCAUUACAACACUUAUAUAAGACUUUUAAAGUCAUUUUGAUAGUAGGCUAAUAUAGACACUUACAUCAUGUGUUGCCUUCAUUACAACACUUAUAUAAGACUUUUAAAGUCAUUUUGAUAGUAGGCUAAUAUAGACACUUACAUCUUAUGUUGCCUUCAUUACAACACUUAUAUAAGACUUUUAAAGUCAUUUUGAUAGUAGGCUAAUAUAGACACAUCAUGUGUUGCCUUCAUUACAACACUUAUAUGAGGCUUUUAAAGUCAUUUUGAUAGUGGGCUAAUGUAGACACUUACAUCAUAUGUUGCCUUCAUUACAACACUUAUAUAAGACUUUUAAAGUCAUUUUGGUAGGCUAAUAUAGACACUUACAUCAUGUGUUGCCUUCAUUACAACACUUAUAUAAGACUUUUAAAGUCAUUUUGGUAGGCUAAUAUAGACACUUACAUCAUAUGUUGCCUUCAUUACAACACUUAUAUAAGACUUUUAAAGUCAUUUUGGUAGGCUAAUAUAGACACUUACAUCAUGUGUUGCCUUCAUUACAACACUUAUAUGAGGCUUUUAAAGUCAUUUUGAUAGUGGGCUAAUAUAGACACUUACAUCAUAUGUUGCCUUCAUUACAACACUUAUAUGAGGCUUUUAAAGUCAUUUUGAUAGUGGGCUAAUAUAGACACAUCAUAUGUUGCCUUCAUUACGACACUUAUAUAAGACUUUUAAAGUCAUUUUGAUAGUAGGCUAAUAUAGACACUUACAUCUUAUGUUGCCUUCAUUACAACACUUAUAUAAGACUUUUAAAGUCAUUUUGAUAGUAGGCUAAUAUAGACACUUACAUCUUAUGUUGCCUUCAUUACAACACUUAUAUAAGACUUUUAAAGUCAUUUUGAUAGUAGGCUAAUAUAGACACUUACAUCAUGUGUUGCCUUCAUUACAACACUUAUAUGAGGCUUUUAAAGUCAUUUUGAUAGUGGGCUAAUAUAGACACUUACAUCAUAUGUUGCCUUCAUUACAACACUUAUAUGAGGCUUUUAAAGUCAUUUUGAUAGUGGGCUAAUAUAGACACAUCAUAUGUUGCCUUCAUUACGACACUUAUAUAAGACUUUUAAAGUCAUUUUGAUAGUAGGCUAAUAUAGACACUUACAUCUUAUGUUGCCUUCAUUACAACACUUAUAUAAGACUUUUAAAGUCAUUUUGAUAGUAGGCUAAUAUAGACACUUACAUCAUGUGUUGCCUUCAUUACAACACUUAUAUAAGCCUUUUAAAGUCAUUUUGGUAGGCUAAUAUAGACACUUACAUCAUGUGUUCCCUUCAUUACAACACUUAUAUAAGACUUUUAAAGUCAUUUUGGUAGGCUAAUAUAGACACUUACAUCAUGUGUUGCCUUCAUUACAACACUUAUAUGAGGCUUUUAAAGUCAUUUUGAUAGUGGGCUAAUAUAGAUACUUACAUCAUAUGUUGCCUUCAUUACAACACUUAUAUGAGGCUUUUAAAGUCAUUUUGAUAGUGGGCUAAUAUAGACACUUACAUCAUAUGUUGCCUUCAUUACAACACUUAUAUGAGGCUUUUAAAGUCAUUUUGAUAGUGGGCUAAUAUAGACACAUCAUAUGUUGCCUUCAUUACAACACUUAUAUAAGACUUUUAAAGUCAUUUUGAUAGUAGGCUAAUAUAGACACUUACAUCAUAUGUUGCCUUCAUUACAACACUUAUAUAAGACUUUUAAAGUCAUUUUGAUAGGCUAAUAUAGACACAUCAUGUGUUGCCUUCAUUACAACACUUAUAUAAGACUUUUAAAGUCAUUUUGGUAGGCUAAUAUAGACACUUACAUCAUGUGUUGCUUUUAUUAUAACACUUAUAUAAGGCUUUUAUAGUCAUUUUGAUAAUAGGCUAAUUAAAAGUUAAAGUACCAAUGAUUGACACACACACCCUAGGUGUGGCGAAAUUAUUCUCUGCAUUUGACCCAUGACCCUCGAUCACCCCCUGAGAGGUGAGGGGAGCAGUGGGCAGCAGCGGUGGUCGCGCCCGGAAUAAUUUUUGGGUGGUUUAACCCCCAAUUCCAACCUUUGAUGCUGAGUGCCGUUUAUAGUCUUUGGUAUGACUCGGCUGGGGUUUGAACUCACAAGUUACCGAUAUCAGGGUGGACACUCUAACCACUAGACCAGGGGUGCCCAUUACGUCGAUCGCGUUGGGUGUGUCAGUUAAUCGCAAGCCAGGCAUUAAAAAAAUAGACAUAGCACACUGGAGUCCGUCCCAAGAUGGCGACGGGGAUGGCGAGCGAGCGGUGAGGCGGGGCGUGCCGGGAGCGACGCCACAAUCGAGAUCAGGUGCGUGAAUCGCGCACCUGGAUACCAAUAAUGAAUCCUCUCGCACUGUUUAAAUGGGCGGCAGCCGUGAACGUCGGGGAGAGAGGUGGAGAAACAACGAAGGAACGGGAGGGAGAGACGACAACACAAGCAGCAGCGCAUGCAACCCGGAAGAGAGCGAGAGGCAGACGCAGACAACAGGGAAGGCUGAAAAGCUACACGCAAAAGACUUUGCUUAUUGAAAAAUAAAUAAGUCUACACCUGCUCAAAUUCAUGUCCGUCUUGGUGGUCCCUGGAACCCGGACGACGGCUUGAAUGUUUAAAAACGAGUAUGCAAGUUGGACAAAUGAGAUGCCAAAUCCAACCACUUUCAUGUGGUAUUGGACAGAAAGGAGGACUUUAUUUCUCCUCCAUUUGAAAAUGUGGACGUUAUCAGCACCACUGUCUGAUUCCAAUCAAUGCAAGUCAUCAGAAUCAGGUAAUACACCAACUUAUAUUCUUGUCUUCAUGAAAGAAAGGAAUCUAUAUGUGUUAAACAUGCUUGUAUUAUCAUUAAACAACAUUAACAUGUUUACAAAAAUGUAUCUUUCAUAAAUAAAUAAAUAUAAAUUAUAAAUAUGAAUGAGGUAGAUUUCCUCGACUUGGUCAAUUGAAAAGUAGUUCGCCUGCAGAAAAAGUAUGAGCACCCCCGCACUAGACCAUAGAUAACCGGUAGUAUCGACCAAGUACAGAAUUUGUACCCAUCCCUAUUCUGAGCAUAUUUCUCUCUUUCAUCAUAUAUCUUAUUGACUUAAGUCUUACCAAGGUACCUUUUGAGUUACCCAUUUUUACUCGGUGAUCUCCCAAAAAGGAAUAUUCAUUUGUUUGUAUUUACAUAUUUCUACAGUUGUGAUCAAAAUGAUUCAACCCCCACACAAUUUUGGUGUUUUAGCAAGUUGGACAUUUAUUCCGUAUUUUGUUUACAGUAAUAUCAAAUACAAGUGUGUCAAAUAGAUAAAUGCAACUUAAAUUGUAACACUGUAUUUUACAAAAUACCAAAAAAGGACAUUUUUCUUAAUAUCUCAUUGACAAAAUUAUUCAACCCCCUAGUUACAUGCAUCUUUAGUACUUAGUAGAACACCCUUUGGCAGUAAUUACAUCCUUCAAACGUGAUACAUAACCGGACACAAGCUUCUUGCAACCAUCUACAGGUAUUUUAGUCCAUUCCUCUUGGGCAAAGGCCUCCAGUUCAUUCAUAUCCUUGGGCUUGCGUGUUGCAACUGCCUUCUUCAAGUCCCACCACAGGUUUUCUAUAGGAUUUAGGUCUGGCGACUGUGAAGGCCACUCCAGAGUCUUCCAGCCCUUCUUCUGCAACCACUCUGAUGUUGAUUUGGAGGUAUGCUUGGGAUCGUUGUCCUGUUGGAAGGUCCAACGUCUCCCAAGCCUCAGCUUCGUAACUGACUUCAUGACAUUUGCAGUUAAUAUAUCCUGGUCAGAAAUAGUAUUCAUAAUGCCUAAACGCGCUGGAGAUUCCUGGUACCCGAGGCAGAGAAACAGCCCCAGAGCAUGAUUGACCCCCCACCAUGCUUAACAGUAGGCAAGGUGUUCUUCUCUUUGUGAACUUCAUUUUUUCUCCUCCAGACAUUACGUUGAUUCAUAGGCCCAAAGAGUUCCAGUUUUGUCUCAUCACUCCAUAGAACAGUUUCCCAAAACCUUUGGGGUUUGACCAGAUGAUUUUUGGCAUACUGGAGUCUAUUUUUCUUGUGCCUGGUAGUCAGAAGUGGGAGUUCUGGCAUGGAGGCCUUCAUCUCGCAGUACGCGCCUUAUUGUCUGGGACGAAACCUGCGUUCCCCCCUCUGCAAUGUCCUGUUGUAGUUCCUCAGCUGUUACCCGGGGGUUUUCACCACUGUACGCUUCAAAUACCGGACAGAAGUUGCCACAGCAUCCUCUUUCUACCACGCCUAGGUAGUGUUUCCACUGUGCCUUUAGCUUUAAACUUGCGAAUUAUGCUUCCAAUUGUGUCUCUUGGAAUGUGUAAUGUCUUUGCUAUUUUCUUAUAUCCAUAUCCUUUCUUAUGAAGAGAAAUUACAUCCUCUCUUGACUUCUUUGACCACUCCCUGGACUUCACCAUGUUGCAAAUACACCAUUGACCAUCUACAAGAAGCUGAGCGUCACAGUCUUUUUCAAUCAGUUUAAUUGUUGCUCGUUAUGGUUUUAAUCACAUCUACAGGUGUUUUCAACACCUGAUUGAAAAGACCUUAUUCAAAUUCUGUUCUUAAGAGUUAUGAUCUUCAAGGGGUUGAAUAAUUUUGUCAAUGAGAUAUUAAGAGAAAUGACACUGUUUGGUAUGUUACAAAAUAUAAUGUUGUAAUUCAAGUUGCAUUUGUCUAUUUAUGCAUCUUUAUUUGAUAUGACUACAAACAAAAUACGGAAUAAAUGUCCUAAUUGCUAAAACACUACAAUUGUCUGGGGGUUGAAUAAUUUUGAUCACAACUGUAUUUCUUUUACUUUUUAUUCAUAGCUGUAUGUAGAAGUGUCUGGUUGUAUCUGCUGCUUUAAUGUCUUUAAUGUCCUAUGUGUUCUUUGAUGUCUGAUGUUUCCCUCUUACACACAUGUAAGAGGGAUGUGUACUAUGGCUAUGAGUUGUUGUUUUUUUCCCUUGGCCUCAGUCUGAACCCCCUCUCCAGGGCCCAGGCUAAAACCGAUUUUUUUAUUUUAUUUUAAUGUUCUAUUUUUUUCUCCCCCCCUUGUUUACCUGUAUCUCAUCUUUUUUUGUAAGGGGCGCUGGAAGCCGGCAGACCCGUCAGCGAUCCUGUUCUGUCUCCCUGUAAUGAUUGUCUGAUCUUGAAUGGGAUUGUGCUGAAAAUUGUAAUUUUCCUGAAGGAACUCUCCUGACGGAAUAAAUAAAGUACUAUCUAAUCUAAUCUAAUCUAAUAUA